GUUUAGUGAUUAAUUUAAUUCGCCGUUUGUGUGUGUUAUCUAAAGGUGCCUCUGUGUAUAUGUGAUAAUCUAGAUCUGAACUGUGGAAUAAAAUACUCAAAAAUAUAUUUUCAACCUGUGCUCUAUAUUUUGGAGGAACGCAAGGAAUCGAAAAAUAAACAGCUCCUAGUUUAUGUAUAGUGGCGUGAGAUCCUAAAGGAUUCCCACAUUCAAACUCAUCAAAAUAAAGAAAAAUUGGUAAAGCAAUGUCGUUUUCAGAUAAGGUAAACCAAUACCAUUACAAACAGUGUCUAAGCGAUCUCCAACUACGUAUUCUAUUGGUUUAAUAUAAUAUUCGGCGCGUUCAAGGUAGUUUAGUCUAAGGUAAUCUGUAUGCAAAUCUUUAAAUAUGUUGCGUAACUGAGAAAAAUACUUGGUGAUUAUUUUUGUUUCAUUAUCAUGAAUGUUAUUAUCAGCAAUAAAAUUUAAUAACUCUGACUCAAACAAUUGUAGUGGUUCCCGUAGUAAAUUAUCUACAGACUCGAUUAUUACUUGUACAUUUUUCCGGUUUAAUGUAGAUUCAUUAAAAAAAUAUGUGACAAAAUUAAUAGCAUUUUGAUUUAGCUUCUCUUUAAACAGAUUGAAUUUGAAAGCAUCACUUGUUUUAACAGAAGAACAUGAAGGUUCCGCAUCAUUUAUUUCUGUUUCUGUAUCUGAAUAGGAGAAUUUACGUAUAUUAUUACCGUCUUUGUUUUGGUGCACUGUGUUGACGGGUUUUGUUACAAAAAUAUUAGCCUGAUUAGGAUCAAGUCUAGUUAAAUCAAUACUUUUGUGAGAUUUCAAAUGUUUCUUGAAGGAGUUUAAAUUUGUAAAAUUUCUGAAACAAGUUAAUUCACCACACUUAAAUGUUGAACUAUUAUCAAAACCAUGCAGAUGUUUUAAAUGACACACUAGAGCCUUAAUGUCAGCAAAAGUAUUUGUACAAU
This is a long non-coding RNA of Photinus pyralis (common eastern firefly), 965 nucleotides long. RefSeq lists it as uncharacterized. The transcript has 3 exons. The record is from RefSeq and is a predicted model, not a curated record. Lineage: Eukaryota; Metazoa; Arthropoda; Insecta; Coleoptera; Lampyridae.